AUGUGAGGGGCAUCCCUGGAAUAUCAAAGGGGAGCCAGGAGAGGAGGGACCCUAUGGUGAUGAGCUAGUGGGUAAGGGAAGAGCUUACCAAGGCAACGAUCAGUAGCCGACAUGAGAGGGGGAUAGGCCAAAUUGGAACUGAGACACGGUCCAAACUCCAAAGGGAGGCAGCAGUGGGGAAUUUUGCACAAUGGGCGAAAGCCUGAUGAAGCAACGCCGCGUGAGUGAUGAAGGCAGUCGGGUCGUAAAACUCUGUCCUCAAGGAAGAUAAUGACGGUACGUGAGGAGGAAGCCCCGGCUAACUACGUGCCAGCAGCCGCGGUAAUACGUAGGGGGCUAGCGUUAUCCGGAUU
Molecule: ribosomal RNA, 353 nt
Filed under: Clostridioides difficile
Lineage: Bacteria; Bacillati; Bacillota; Clostridia; Peptostreptococcales; Peptostreptococcaceae
Description: bacterial SSU rRNA
Rfam family: Bacterial small subunit ribosomal RNA
Source: RNAcentral